This 360-nucleotide ribosomal RNA is filed under the name uncultured bacterium. Its description in RNAcentral is "SSU rRNA". It matches the Rfam family "Bacterial small subunit ribosomal RNA", at positions 1 to 387 of the family's 1533-position model. The record is from RNAcentral.
AUUCGGCUUAGAGUUUGAGCCUGGCUCAGAACGAACGCUGGCGGCAGGCUUAACACAUGCAAGUCGAACGCCCCGCAAGGGGAGUGGCAGACGGGUGAGUAACGCGUGGGAAUCUACCGAGCCGUAGGGAAUAACGCAUGGAAACGUGUGCUAAUACCGUAUAUGUCGUUAGGGGGAAAGAUAAAUCGGGGUUUGAUGAGCCCGCGCCGGCUUAAGCUUGUUGGUGGGGUAAAGGCCUACCAAGGCGACGAUCCAUAGCUGGUCUGAGAGGAUGAUCAGCCACAUUGGGAUUGAGACACGGCCCAAACUCCUACGGGAGGCAGCAGUGGGGAAUAUUGGACAAUGGGUUGUUAGGUUGCU